Molecule: ribosomal RNA, 142 nt
Filed under: uncultured eukaryote
Lineage: Eukaryota
Description: partial 18S ribosomal RNA
Rfam family: Eukaryotic small subunit ribosomal RNA
Source: RNAcentral
UGGUGGAGUGAUUUGUCUGGUUAAUUCCGUUAACGAACGAGACCUCGACCUGCUAAAUAGUUCAACGAAUCCUUCGGGAUUCGUCUGUGACUUCUUAGAGGGACUAUCGGUGGGUAGCCGAUGGAAGUUCGAGGCAAUAACA